Microtus ochrogaster (prairie vole) is the source of this 1166-nucleotide long non-coding RNA. RefSeq lists it as uncharacterized. Lineage: Eukaryota; Metazoa; Chordata; Mammalia; Rodentia; Cricetidae. The record is from RefSeq and is a predicted model, not a curated record. The transcript is spliced from 3 exons.
CUACACAGGGUCCAGCUAAGGGGCCACGACUCCUCACUGAGACCCUAUCCAAGCUAGGUGUUCCCCGCAUCGUGGAACCUGGAUUUGUGUGGAGCGGGGUGAUUCUCGGGCAAGGAAGGUUCUUCCGGCAGGUCCACCAUACCUUCGUCUCGCAUCAGGACCCCCCUUGGAUGCUCUGAGCCACCCUUCUCAACCCGGAUCUAAAACCUGGGACACGGCUAUCAGGCCAGCCUCUCUCUCCCUCCACCCCUCCCCCUCUUUCUGGCGUCCAUCCCCUCCCCAACACCACCUCUGCUGCUGCCUCUGGCUGUGGACUUGCACCUCUUCUCCAUCCUCACCGGGCCGGGAGAGUGGGGUUAGCCUGGAUGAGAGUGUGCCCCUAACCUGGGGCCCUCCCAGGCCAUGGCUCGUGUGCUCCCAGGGAGGAGUCCAGGACCCUGAGCCUCUGCUAGAAGCUUGGCAGAGGCCCCGCUGGGACCGUGUCUUCUGAGGACAAAAGGCUGCGGCCAGCAGGCAGACUGGGUGGGGGGUGGGGGGGAACCGGCAGGCAGGCAGGCAGACCAGUAGCAGAGCUAGCUCUGGCCCCCUCCCAGACUGGUGGUGGCAUAAAGAUGGGGGUGGGAGUGUGUAGCGGGAGAAGCACCUACCAGGACCCCCAUCUGCCCGCUACUUGGGCACCCCAAAGCUGUGUGCUGCCCACCUGGUGUUCCCCAGCAUCUCCAGCUCUACCAAGUGCACCCCUCUGGCACCUGCUUCCCCGGCUGCCAGCGAUUUAGACCAACCAGGCUGUAUCCACGGCAACAGAAGCAGGAGUGUCACUGGCUGCCAGAUCACUGAGGGUCCCACAAUGUGGCCUGGACUAUGGUUUAUCCUGCUUGAGAUCGAGUGAGUUCCCUUCCUGAAUUCCAAGACGGUCCUGCUAAGAGAACCCAGUUUCUACCCACAGGUAAUAUACUUUUGCUCACUCACCCUGGAAGAUGUGUCCCAGCUAGUGGGAGGAAGCUGCUAUAGGAAUAGAGGAAGAUACCCACAAUGUGUUUGGGACCUCCAGAUCAAUGACACAGUAGCCAGAGGUCCCUGUAUCUGGAAGUGCAGGAAAACCUGGUAUAUGGAGAACAUGGAUUCUACUAGGGACACAUCUCUUAACUACUAAGCUCACAACUUUA